Molecule: ribosomal RNA, 667 nt
Filed under: fungal endophyte
Lineage: Eukaryota; Fungi
Description: eukaryotic LSU rRNA
Rfam family: 5.8S ribosomal RNA (bases 179-332)
Source: RNAcentral
UAAAGAGUUCUAUAACUCCCAAACCCAUGUGAACAUACCUAACGUUGCCUCGGCAGGUCGCACCUACCUUGUAGCACCCUACCCUGUAGGGCCUACCCGGGAGGUGCGGGUAAGCCUGCCGGCGGCCCGCCAAACUCUGUUUGAUAUUGAAUUCUGAACCUAUAACUAAAUAAGUUAAAACUUUCAACAACGGAUCUCUUGGUUCUGGCAUCGAUGAAGAACGCAGCGAAAUGCGAUAAGUAAUGUGAAUUGCAGAAUUCAGUGAAUCAUCGAAUCUUUGAACGCAUAUUGCGCCCAUUAGUAUUCUAGUGGGCAGGACCGUUCGAGCGUCAUUUCAACCCUUAAGCCUUCGUUGCUUAGUGUUGGGAGCCUACGGCAACGUAGCUCCUCAAAGUUAGUGGCGGAGUUGGUUCACACUCUAGACGUAGUAAUUUUUUAUCUCGCCUAUUAGUUGGACUAAUCCCCUGCCGUAAAACCCCCAAUUUAUUAAGGUUGACCUCGAAUCGGUUCAGACAAACUCGCUAAAUUGAAGCAUCUUAGUCAGCGAAGGAAAAGAAACCAACAGGGAUUGCCCUAGUAACGGCGAGUGAAGCGGCAACAGCUCAAAUUUGAAAUCUGGCCCUCGGGUCCGAGUUGUAAUUUGUAGAGGAUGCUUUUGGCGCGGUGC